UAAAAUCUGAAAACUUGUUAAUAAUUAGAACCAAAUUGAGUUUUCAGAAAUGCACUUAAUGAAGAAAAAUUGGUGACUACUAAAAGAUUCAAUCAAGAAAAGAUGAAUUAGAUCUUGAUGAAAUUCUUGCAUGAUUAGAAGUAAAGAUCACCAUUAUCAUUUGCUUGCUUCAUGAACUUUAUAUUCUGUCAAAUGAAUGUGUAGAAAACACUCAUUACAAAUAUGAUAGAGCAAUAUGUGAU
This 242-nucleotide long non-coding RNA is filed under the name Phoenix dactylifera (date palm). RNAcentral's name for it is "long non-coding RNA (PDAC_LNC019893)". Lineage: Eukaryota; Viridiplantae; Streptophyta; Magnoliopsida; Arecales; Arecaceae. The record is from RNAcentral.